UAUGGGUGCAAACCUAUAGGAUGCAAAUGGGUAUUCAAGAAGAAGCUUAGGCCUGAUGGUACGAUUGAAAAGUACAAGGCUCGGCUCGUGGCUAAGGGUUAUACCCAAAAGGAAGGUGAAGAUUUCUGUGAUACUUACUCACCUGUGGCUCGACUGACCACUAUUCGAGUUCUACUUUCACUAGCUGCCUCACAUGGUCUUCUCGUUCAUCAAAUGGAUGUUAAGACUGCUUUCCUGAAUGGAGAGUUGGAUGAGGAAAUUUAUAUGGAACAACCAGAUGGGUUUGUAAUAGAUGGUCAGGAAGGGAAAGUGUGCAAAUUGCUGAAGUCUUUGUACGGACUCAAGCAAGCACCCAAGCAAUGGCAUGAGAAGUUCGAAAGAACUUUAACAGCUGCAGGCUUUGUUGUGAACGAAGCUGACAAAUGUGUGUACUAUCGCCAUGGUGGGGGCGAGGGGGUUAUGCUUUGCUUGUAUGUUGAUGACAUACUGAUUUUUGGAACAAAUCUGAAUGUUAUUAAGGAGGUCAAAGAUUUUCUAUCUCGCUGUUUUGAGAUGAAAGAUUUAGGAGUGGCUGAUGUCAUUCUGAACAUCAAGUUGUUGAGAGAU
RNAcentral lists this ribosomal RNA (606 nucleotides) under Triticum aestivum (bread wheat). Its description in RNAcentral is "partial small subunit ribosomal RNA". Lineage: Eukaryota; Viridiplantae; Streptophyta; Magnoliopsida; Poales; Poaceae. The record is from RNAcentral.